Molecule: ribosomal RNA, 467 nt
Filed under: uncultured bacterium
Lineage: Bacteria
Description: partial 16S ribosomal RNA
Rfam family: Bacterial small subunit ribosomal RNA
Source: RNAcentral
GACGAACGCUGGCGGCGUGCUUAACACAUGCAAGUCGAACGGAAAGGCUCCAGCUUGCUGGAGUACUCGAGUGGCGAACGGGUGAGUAACACGUGGGUAAUCUGCCCUGCACUCUGGGAUAAGCCUGGGAAACUGGGUCUAAUACUGGAUAUGACCUUUCUCCUUAUGGGGUUUGGUGGAAAGUUUUUCGGUGUAGGAUGAGCCCGCGGCCUAUCAGCUUGUUGGUGGGGUGAUGGCCUACCAAGGCGACGACGGGUAGCCGGCCUGAGAGGGUGAUCGGCCACAUUGGGACUGAGAUACGGCCCAGACUCCUACGGGAGGCAGCAGUGGGGAAUAUUGCACAAUGGGCGGAAGCCUGAUGCAGCGACGCCGCGUGAGGGAUGACGGCCUUCGGGUUGUAAACCUCUUUCAGCAGGGACGAAGCGUAAGUGACGGUACCUGCAGAAGAAGCACCGGCUAACUAUGUG